RNAcentral lists this ribosomal RNA (253 nucleotides) under uncultured bacterium. RNAcentral describes it as "partial 16S ribosomal RNA". It matches the Rfam family "Bacterial small subunit ribosomal RNA", at positions 524 to 776 of the family's 1533-position model. The record is from RNAcentral.
UACGAAGGGGGCUAGCGUUGCUCGGAAUCACUGGGCGUAAAGCGCACGUAGGCGGAUUGCUAAGUCAGGGGUGAAAUCCUGGAGCUCAACUCCAGAACUGCCUUUGAUACUGAGGAUCUUGAGUCCGGGAGAGGUGAGUGGAACUGCGAGUGUAGAGGUGAAAUUCGUAGAUAUUCGCAAGAACACCAGUGGCGAAGGCGGCUCACUGGCCCGAUACUGACGCUGAGGCACGAAAGCGUGGGGAGCAAACAGG